Oncorhynchus nerka (sockeye salmon) is the source of this 2839-nucleotide long non-coding RNA. RefSeq lists it as uncharacterized. NCBI's taxonomy places the organism in Eukaryota, Metazoa, Chordata, Actinopteri, Salmoniformes, Salmonidae. The record is from RefSeq and is a predicted model, not a curated record. The transcript has 3 exons.
GAGAAGACGUAGCGUACACCCACCACCUCCAGGGCAGAAGUGGAAGAGGAGUGGAAGAGGAGUGGAGAAGACGUAGCGUACACCCACCACCUCUCUCCCACACCAGGGAUUAUUGGCCGUGGUCCGUUGCCAAGAUCAUGUUAGUGCCUCGGGGUGGACAAAGGUAAACAGAUUAUGGCUGCUGCAUCUGCACCAGUCACUGGAAUUGGCCUGUUUUCUAGCUAAUAGAUAACCGACUACAACCCCAUCAUUCACGGCUAUUGAUUCAAAGCAACCACAGGACCUGAGCCCUAGGACCAUGCCUCAGGACUACCUGGCAUGAUGACUCCUUGCUGUCCCCAGUCCACCUGGCCAUGCUGCUGCUCCAGUCUCAACUGUUCUGCCUGCGGCUAUGGAACCCUGACCUGAUCACCGGACGUGCUACCUGUCCCAGACCUGCUGUUUUCAACUCUCUAGAGACAGCAGGAGCGGUAGAGAUAUUCUUAAUGAUCGGCUAUGAAAAGCCAACUGACAUUUACUCCUGAGGUGCUGACUUGCUGCACCCUUGACAACUACUGUGAUUAUUAUUAUUUGACCAUGCUGGUCAUUUAUGAACAUUUGAACAUCUUGGCCAAGUUCUGUUAUAAUCUCCACCCGGCACAGCCAGAAGAGGACUGGCCACCCCUCAUAGCCUGGUUCCUUUCUAGGUUUCUUCCUAGGUUUUGGCCUUUCUAGGAGUUUUUCCUAGCCACCGUGCUUCUACACCUGCAUUGCUUGCUGUUUGGGAUUUUAGGCUGGGUUUCUGUACAGCACUUUGAGAUAUCAGCUGAUGUAAGAAGGGCUAUAGAAAUACAUGUGAUUUGAUUUGAUUUAUGCUAGAAUACAAAAUCCUAGAUGUUUAUUUAUUUAACCCUAUAAUUCUUAUAGUUUUACGUACCGGAGAUUCAUGUAUUUUAUUUCCUCUAUUUUUCUGAUGGUAAGGCUGUUCAAACUGUUCAACCCCCCCCCCACCCAAGUAACAUAAGGACAAUCUACCAUUGCACACAUUUUUAUUAAUAUUUAUACCCAAAGAAACACUGAGAUCUUUCAUUCUUAAUGUAGAACAACUGCGUAGCCUGUCAUUCCUAAUUAUUAUGUCACCAUAGACAAAGGGUAAAUAUCUGCAGUUUAUCAACAUGCCUUUGAUUGAGGAUGACUUGGCAUAUUUCUACAUCACUCGUUUUCUUCCCAUUACAAUAGCUUAACCCCCCCCCCAAAACAGAACAUUCCCUCUAAUGAUGUAAGUUAUUAGGCCCACAAGAGUACCUCAUUUCGAGAUUAUGAAGGUGCAGUCAACGGAUGACUUCAGAAGCAUCCAACAAGCGUGACAAGUGCUGUGGGUAAUUGUAUUUUGUGGGGCUGAGAAAAUGGUCCCAAUUGGAGCAUGUGUAAAUUCUCCAAGUCACACUGUCAAAUGACUGUAUGUUUCUGUAAAAAGCCGAGUGAUGCCAGAAUUCUUUCCAUUACACAGUGAGAAUGAGAGUGUUCCGGAUGACAUCAUAGAGCUCCAUGUCUCUGCUCUGUGCUAGCUAGGAGUGGCGAAUGUAACAGCUGGUUUUUAUGUCACUCAUACAGCCUCUGUAACAUCCUGUCAGGUACUCUUCCUUAUGAGGGUCUGCAUGCGACUCAACAUCCCAGGAUAUCUCGGAAACGUAAAUGUUAUGCCAUGUUUGGAGUCACCAAGGCGUACGCUAAGGGAAAAAUCCGGCGUGUUUCCGAUUUUAAUGCCUACAUCAGAGCGGGUAACCAAACCAAGAUGUGUUCAAGCACAAUGUUGUUCCAUCCAAAAGAUGACUUCAGGUCUCAGGCCUGUGACUCACCAGAUACAAAAACAAGUUGAUUUAUCAGAGUCACUUAAUCCCUUUGUUUGCACAUCGUUUGUAAGCAUAUGCUGAUGUUGUCUUUUAAAACAAACAUUUGUACUUCUGUGUCAAAUACUCCAAGAAGACAACAGACACGCCUUUAUGUUCAACAGAGUCCAUCUCGGAAUGAAUUUGACUUUAUACUGUAAAUCACAACAGUCAGCCUUUGUAAGUCGCUCUGGAUAAGAGCGUCUGCUAAAUGACUUAAAUGUAAAUGUUUAAAGUCUUGCUAAGAAGUGACAACACAGUAAUCAUCAGGCAUGAGAAGUGACAACACAGUAAUCAUCAGGCAUGCGAAGUGACAACACAGUAAUCAUCAGGCCUGAGAAGUGACAACACAGUAAUCAUCAAGCAUGAGAAGUGACAACACAGUAAUCAUCAGGCAUGCGAAGUGACAACACAGUAAUCAUCAGGCCUGAGAAGUGACAACACAGUAAUCAUCAGGCAUGCGAAGUGACAACACAGUAAUCAUCAAGCAUGAGAAGUGACAACACAGUAAUCAUCAGGCAUGUGAAGUGACAACGCAGUAAUCAUCAAGCAUGAGAAGUGACAACACAGUAAUCAUCAAGCAUGAGAAGUGACAACACAGUAAUCAUCAAGCAUGAGAAGGGACAACACAGUAAUCAUCAAGCAUGUGAAGUGACAACCCAGUAAUCAGGCAUGAGAAGUGACAACACAGUAAUCAUCAAGCAUGAGAAGUGACAACACAGUAAUCAUCAAGCAUGUGCGUCAUAAGCAUGUGCAUUUCCAACCAAUCAAAUUGAGUUGAUUGGUUUCUCUAAGCCCCUAGAUUUCCACUUCUCAGAACCUACCACACCCCUCUCCUCUCUUUCUCUACUUAGCCAGUGGCUGUACUCUAGUCACAGUAAAGCAGGAAGAGAGGGUCAUUUUCCUGGUGAUGUCACUGGCCCCUAAGGCUCCUAGCUCCAGCGUGGGAGAUGAGCGAGGGGAACGUGUGA